AGGCUUUGCCUGCUAUCUCUUACCCAUGUCUUUUGAGUACCUUACGUUUCCUCGGCGGGUUCGCCCGCCGGUUGGACAAAACUUAAACCCUUUGUAGUUGCAAUCAGCGUCUGAAAAAACUUAAUAGUUACAACUUUCAACAACGGAUCUCUUGGUUCUGGCAUCGAUGAAGAACGCAGCGAAAUGCGAUAAGUAGUGUGAAUUGCAGAAUUCAGUGAAUCAUCGAAUCUUUGAACGCACAUUGCGCCCCUUGGUAUUCCAUGGGGCAUGCCUGUUCGAGCGUCAUUUGUACCUUCAAGCUCUGCUUGGUGUUGGGUGUUUGUCUCGCCUUUUGCGUGUAGACUCGCCUCAAAACGAUUGGCAGCCGGCGUAUUGAUUUCGGAGCGCAGUACAUCUCGCGCUUUGCACUCAUAACGACGACGUCCAAAAAGUACAUUUUUACACUCUUGACCUCGGAUCAGGUAGGGAUACCCGCUG
Molecule: ribosomal RNA, 477 nt
Filed under: fungal sp. E15004A
Lineage: Eukaryota; Fungi
Description: eukaryotic LSU rRNA
Rfam family: 5.8S ribosomal RNA (bases 132-285)
Source: RNAcentral